Molecule: ribosomal RNA, 298 nt
Filed under: uncultured bacterium
Lineage: Bacteria
Description: partial 16S ribosomal RNA
Rfam family: Bacterial small subunit ribosomal RNA
Source: RNAcentral
CUAUGCGCCUUGCCAGCCCGCUCAGGUGUGCCAGCAGCCGCGGUAAUACGUAGGGGCAAGCGUUAUCCGGAUUUACUGGGUGUAAAGGGAGCGUAGGCGGUGCGCCAAGCUGGGUGUGAAAGGCCGGGGCUCAACCCCGGGACUGCACUCGGAACUGGCGUGCUAGAGUGUUGGAGAGGUAAGCGGAAUUCCUAGUGUAGCGGUGAAAUGCGUAGAUAUUAGGAGGAACACCAGUGGCGAAGGCGAUUCUCUGGGCCAAGACUGACGCUGAGGCGCGAAAGCGUGGGGAGCAAACAGG